UGUUUCUGUGCUCCCUCUUAGUGCUCUGAAAUCUUGGGCUCCUCUCCCUCUUGAUUGCUGGCUGAAAAUCUUGGCUUGGCACUCCCAAGCUGCACACCACAGCUCUGGGACAAUCUCAAGCUUUAUAUCCCUUCCCAUCUUGGAGGAAUCAGAGGAAGGAAAGUUAGCAGUGGUUGUGACAGAGGGUUUUUCACUUGUCUCUUGGAGCUCCACCUCAGAAAGACGCAGAGCUGCUAUCAAUCAGUAUGAUUGGCCUAGGAUGGGGCAGCUGUGCUGUGAGACCAACCCAUGGCAGACAUCCAGCUGAUCACACUGUGUCCACAUAAGGCAAAUGCUGAGCUGUAAUCCAUCAAGCUGUUUCCGCAUAGAGAAAAGGCCAUAUGAGUACACAGCCAGAAGGUGUCUGCCUACAAGACAAAGAGGGAAAACUUACCUGAAACCAACCCUGAUGGAUAUUGGAUUUCUAAGCUCCAGAACUGUGAGAAAAUUAAUUUUAUGUGCUUUAAGACACUCAAUUUGUGGUAUUCUGUUAUGGCAGCCUAUGCUAGUCAAUUUGCAUUACCAUAAAGCAACACCUGAGAGUGGGUAAAUUAUAAAGAAAAGAAGUUGAAUCGGCUCAUGGUUCUGCAGGCAGUACAGAAGCAUAGUGCUGGCAAUUGCCCCUGGCAAGGGGCUCAGGAAGCUUACAAACAUGGCAGAAGGCAAAGGGAAGCCAACAUAUCACACGUAAGCUCAGGAAGCUUACAAACAUGGCAGAAGGCAAAGGGAAGCCAACAUAUCACGUGGCGAGAAAGACAGAGAAGCGGUAGGUCCCAGACUCUUUUAAACAACAAGACCUCAUGUGAACUGAGGGGAAACUCACUUUCACCAAGGAGAUGGUGCUAAACCACUAAUGAGGGAUCUGUCCCAUGAGCCAAUCACCUCCCACCAAGACCUACCUCCAAUUUUGGAAAUUAUAUUUCAACAUGAGAUUUGGAGGGGACAAACAUCCAAACCAUAUCCCAGCCUGAGCAGACUAACAGAGUCUCUGAAUAAAUCUAUGAAAAUGACUAGAGUAUUAUUUUGUUGAGUGAUUUCUUCUUGUAUUAGGAUUGGUCUCCUUGAAAAUAUUUUUCUCAUAUCUGUUAUAAUAAAAUACUGAGAAUCAUACUAAUUCUACUCUAAACUUAGAUAUUUAAGAGGGUUGGAUUUGACUGAUUGCUCUGAUGUUGCUAACAUAGUCAAAGACUUUUCAAAACUAAAGUGUAAUAUUAUGUCAUGCAACCUUGAGAAAAUUACAAUGGACAAAGCAGAACUAUAAUUCACAAUUCAUCUCCCAAACAAAUUGUGACACCCCUUCUUUCCAAUCCACUGAAAUAUGCCUAAAAUGAGAAAAAAGGGAAAUCUUAAAAACAACAACAACAACAACAAAGAAAAAACAGAAAACGGCAACAUUCAGGCAAAAAAGAAUGUGAGGACUAUGAUGCUGGCAUGCUAAACUUAAUUAAUAAUAAAUGAGAGAGUUUGGAAUGAU
Molecule: long non-coding RNA, 1513 nt
Filed under: Homo sapiens (human)
Lineage: Eukaryota; Metazoa; Chordata; Mammalia; Primates; Hominidae
Description: HSALNT0315903
Source: RNAcentral